GACGAACGCUGGCGGCGUGCCUAAUACAUGCAAGUAGAACGCUGAAGAGAGGAGCUUACUCUUCUUGGAUGAGUUGCGAACGGGUGAGUAACGCGUAGGUAACCUGCCUUGUAGCGGGGGAUAACUAUUGGAGACGAUAGCUAAUACCGCAUAACAAUGGAUGACACAUGUCAUUUAUUUGAAAGGGGCAAUUGCUCCACUACAAGAUGGACCUGCGUUGUAUUAGCUAGUAGGUGAGGUAAUGGCUCACCUAGGCGACGAUACAUAGCCGACCUGAGAGGGUGAUCGGCCACACUGGGACUGAGACACGGCCCAGACUCCUACGGGAGGCAGCAGUAGGGAAUCUUCGGCAAUGGGGGCAACCCUGAACGAGCAACGCCGCGGGAGUGAAGAAGGUUUUCGGAUCGUAAAGCUCUGUUGUAAGUCAAGAACGGGUGUGAGAGUGGAAAGUUCACGCUGUGACGGUAGCUUACCAGAAAGGGACGGCUAACUACGUG
RNAcentral lists this ribosomal RNA (497 nucleotides) under uncultured bacterium. Its description in RNAcentral is "partial 16S ribosomal RNA". It matches the Rfam family "Bacterial small subunit ribosomal RNA", at positions 28 to 507 of the family's 1533-position model. The record is from RNAcentral.